RNAcentral lists this transfer RNA (73 nucleotides) under Bradyrhizobium septentrionale. RNAcentral's name for it is "tRNA-Ser". Lineage: Bacteria; Pseudomonadati; Pseudomonadota; Alphaproteobacteria; Hyphomicrobiales; Nitrobacteraceae. The record is from RNAcentral.
GCACUUUGGCGUACAGCAGCCUAGCUUGCUCCGAAGGCAAAGGUCACACGUUCGAAUCGUGUCGGGUGCGCCA